This 460-nucleotide ribosomal RNA is filed under the name uncultured bacterium. Its description in RNAcentral is "partial 16S ribosomal RNA". It matches the Rfam family "Bacterial small subunit ribosomal RNA", at positions 338 to 795 of the family's 1533-position model. The record is from RNAcentral.
CCUACGGGAGGCAGCAGUGAGGAAUAUUGGUCAAUGGACGAGAGUCUGAACCAGCCAAGUAGCGUGAAGGAUGACUGCCCUAUGGGUUGUAAACUUCUUUUAUAUGGGAAUAAAAUGUUCCACGUGUGGGAUUUUGUAUGUACCAUAUGAAUAAGGAUCGGCUAACUCCGUGCCAGCAGCCGCGGUAAUACGGAGGAUCCGAGCGUUAUCCGGAUUUAUUGGGUUUAAAGGGAGCGUAGGUGGAUUGUUAAGUCAGUUGUGAAAGUUUGCGGCUCAACCGUAAAAUUGCAGUUGAAACUGGCAGUCGUGAGUACAGUAGAGGUGGGCGGAAUUCGUGGUGUAGCGGUGAAAUGCUUAGAUAUCACGAAGAACUCCGAUUGCGAAGGCAGCUCACUGGACUGCAACCGACACUGAGGCUCGAAAGUGUGGGUAUCAAACAGGAUUAGAUACCCUAGUAGUC